GACGAACGCUGGCGGCGUGCCUAAUACAUGCAAGUCGAGCGAGCUUGCCUAGAUGAUUUUAGUGCUUGCACUAAAUGAAACUAGAUACAAGCGAGCGGCGGACGGGUGAGUAACACGUGGGUAACCUGCCCAAGAGACUGGGAUAACACCUGGAAACAGAUGCUAAUACCGGAUAACAACACUAGACGCAUGUCUAGAGUUUGAAAGAUGGUUCUGCUAUCACUCUUGGAUGGACCUGCGGUGCAUUAGCUAGUUGGUAAGGUAACGGCUUACCAAGGCAAUGAUGCGUAGCCGAGUUGAGAGACUGAUCGGCCACAUUGGGACUGAGACACGGCCCAAACUCCUACGGGAGGCAGCAGUAGGGAAUCUUCCACAAUGGACGAAAGUCUGAUGGAGCAACGCCGCGUGAGUGAAGAAGGGUUUCGGCUCGUAAAGCUCUGUUGGUAGUGAAGAAAGAUAGAGGUAGUAACUGGCCUUUAUUUGACGGUAAUUACUUAGAAAGUCACGGCUAACUACGUG
This 519-nucleotide ribosomal RNA is filed under the name uncultured bacterium. RNAcentral describes it as "partial 16S ribosomal RNA". It matches the Rfam family "Bacterial small subunit ribosomal RNA", at positions 28 to 507 of the family's 1533-position model. The record is from RNAcentral.